CCCAAAGCAAAACAUCUCGAGCAUCUCUGUUGGUGUCCUGGCCUACCAGUCUUUGUUAACCAGUAUCUACACAAAUCGAUUCUUCACCUUUCUUUCCCCCUUGGCCCUUCUUCUGACCUUUUGUUCCUUUCUUGCCACCUCUCUCCAAAAAACUUUUGAAAUGCUUAUGUUUUGGCCUACCAGCUUUCCUAGUUAUCAAGGGAAAAAAAAAAUCAAAUCCUAGGUCCCCUUCAGGCCAUUGUUACUGAUCAAUUAAUGGCUCAAUAACUCCGGCAUAUGCUGCCCUAAAUCGCUCAAUUGAGUAAUACUCAUGCAGAAAUUCACCCAUCAUCA
Molecule: long non-coding RNA, 333 nt
Filed under: Brachypodium distachyon (stiff brome)
Lineage: Eukaryota; Viridiplantae; Streptophyta; Magnoliopsida; Poales; Poaceae
Description: long non-coding RNA (BDIS_LNC000153)
Source: RNAcentral